Molecule: long non-coding RNA, 242 nt
Filed under: Olea europaea (common olive)
Lineage: Eukaryota; Viridiplantae; Streptophyta; Magnoliopsida; Lamiales; Oleaceae
Description: long non-coding RNA (OEUR_LNC004023)
Source: RNAcentral
UCUUUCUUCUUCCAAUUGUUUUGCUUUGUCAUUGAGCUCAUACUUGGCAUGUUUUUACUCUCGUUUUGCAUUUAGCUCAACUUCUCAAUAUUUGCACCUUUGGUCAUCGAGCUAUCAAUUUGUUGCGUUUUGGUCCUUCUUCGGCUCUUUUCUCCUGAAUUUCACAAUUUCCAUUGAAUUACCUACAAUGCAUGAAUUUAACUAGAUUAAGUCACAAUUCAACCAUUUUAUCCAUGUUUAAG